UGCAUGCUCCCUCCAUCCGGAAAUUCUUGUCGGAGAAAUGAAUAAAAAUAGAUGUAUCUAGAACUAAAAUACAUCUAGAUACAUUCAUUUUUAUUCAUUUCUCCGACAAGUAUUUCUGGACGGAGGGAGUACUAU
This is a non-coding RNA of Triticum aestivum (bread wheat), 135 nucleotides long. NCBI's taxonomy places the organism in Eukaryota, Viridiplantae, Streptophyta, Magnoliopsida, Poales, Poaceae. The record is from Rfam.